This 401-nucleotide unclassified non-coding RNA is filed under the name Hevea brasiliensis (rubber tree). Lineage: Eukaryota; Viridiplantae; Streptophyta; Magnoliopsida; Malpighiales; Euphorbiaceae. The record is from RNAcentral.
GAAAAAACUAGCAACUACAGUGAAAACCAUGACAGAAUCAUCAAAUACAGACUUUUACAUUGGAGAGAUGCAAUUUGAAGCACAAGAACUUCAAAAUUGCCCUCAAAUCUCUUCCUAACCACCCAACUCCAACCCCUAUGACGACAUUGGAUGGCGAUGCAAAAACAGGCCCCACUACAAAAACUAGCUCACCACCUAGCAUGGAGGUUCUUCCACUGGUUACACUAGUAUCUUUGUUAAUAGAAAUUGCAACAAGAGUGGAAGGCAUUGUCGAUGCUAUUAGUGAGUUGGCGAUGCUGGCAGAAUUCAAGCCUGCCACCUCUUAAAGGGACCAAAAUGAGCGCAGUAGCAAACUUACCUCAAGCAACCCAGAUUAUCAAACAACGAAGAAUCCAACAAAG